Molecule: ribosomal RNA, 548 nt
Filed under: uncultured bacterium
Lineage: Bacteria
Description: bacterial SSU rRNA
Rfam family: Bacterial small subunit ribosomal RNA
Source: RNAcentral
UGGGGAAUUUUGGACAAUGGACGAAAGUCUGAUCCAGCCAUGCCGCGUGCGGGAAGAAGGCCUUCGGGUUGUAAACCGCUUUUGUCAGGGAAGAAAAGCGCUGGGCUAAUACCCCGGCGUCAUGACGGUACCUGAAGAAUAAGCACCGGCUAACCACGUGCCAGCAGCCGCGGUAAUACGUAGGGUGCAAGCGUUAAUCGGAAUUACUGGGCGUAAAGCGUGCGCAGGCGGCUUUGCAAGACAGAUGUGAAAUCCCCGGGCUCAACCUGGGAACUGCAUUUGUGACUGCAAGGCUAGAGUACGGUAGAGGGGAGUGGAAUUCCGCGUGUAGCAGUGAAAUGCGUAGAUAUGCGGAGGAACACCGAUGGCGAAGGCAGCUCCCUGGACCUGUACUGACGCUCAUGCACGAAAGCGUGGGGAGCAAACAGGAUUAGAUACCCUGGUAGUCCACGCCCUAAACGAUGUCAACUGGUUGUUGGGAGGGUUUCUUCUCAGUAACGUAGCUAACGCGUGAAGUUGACCGCCUGGGGAGUACGGCCGCAAGGUUG